GAUGAUAGAGGCGCGAACGUCAAUAGUAAGCAUUUGGAGAUUUGCAGAAUCCGUGAAGAAUGUUGAAAGGGGCGGUCGCCGAAGUGUGCGUAUUUACUGCUGUUUCGCAUGCUGGUUCUGCAUUUAAGAAGUGCAGAGCUGUCAGAGUCAAUCUCUGGAGGGCUAUCU
Molecule: non-coding RNA, 168 nt
Filed under: uncultured Planococcus sp.
Lineage: Bacteria; Bacillati; Bacillota; Bacilli; Caryophanales; Caryophanaceae
Description: Lysine riboswitch
Rfam family: Lysine riboswitch aptamer
About the family: Riboswitches are metabolite binding domains within certain messenger RNAs that serve as precision sensors for their corresponding targets. Allosteric rearrangement of mRNA structure is mediated by ligand binding, and this results in modulation of gene expression.
Source: RNAcentral